Molecule: transfer RNA, 87 nt
Filed under: Candidatus Tectimicrobiota bacterium
Lineage: Bacteria; Pseudomonadati; Candidatus Tectimicrobiota
Description: tRNA-Leu
Rfam family: tRNA
About the family: Transfer RNA (tRNA) molecules are approximately 80 nucleotides in length. Their secondary structure includes four short double-helical elements and three loops (D, anti-codon, and T loops). Further hydrogen bonds mediate the characteristic L-shaped molecular structure. tRNAs have two regions of fundamental functional importance: the anti-codon, which is responsible for specific mRNA codon recognition, and the 3' end, to which the tRNAs corresponding amino acid is attached (by aminoacyl-tRNA synthetases). tRNAs cope with the degeneracy of the genetic code in two manners: having more than one tRNA (with a specific anti-codon) for a particular amino acid; and 'wobble' base-pairing, i.e. permitting non-standard base-pairing at the 3rd anti-codon position.
Source: RNAcentral
GCCGGAGUGGCGGAACUGGUAGACGCGCUAGAUUCAGGGUCUAGUGGCCUUCGGGCCGUGGAGGUUCAAGUCCUCUCUCCGGCACCA